This 2283-nucleotide long non-coding RNA is filed under the name Nicotiana benthamiana. RNAcentral describes it as "long non-coding RNA (NBEN_LNC013703)". Lineage: Eukaryota; Viridiplantae; Streptophyta; Magnoliopsida; Solanales; Solanaceae. The record is from RNAcentral.
AAAUAAUAACGAACUAGCAUAGCAUGGCUAUUACAACAUUAGUCUCUACUAACUGAAAGUAUACAAGGGCAGAAGUUUGACAACUAAAUCUACUAUAGGAUAGGCAUGUCCUAUUAUACACAAACAAAUAACUACAUGACUCUAAUGAAAGAAGUAUUCUACUGUGUAUACGAGCAAGUAAACAACUACAGCGAAUUGAAAACUUCAACUAUUCAUUUCUUAUUCAUGCUUCAAUUUUCAUUCUACAAGAACCACUGUAUCAAUUGUGUACCUAGUAUUUGGAAAGAAAAGAAGAGGAAGAAGUCAGUAGUGCAGCAGUAGUACAACACAACAACAAUAGGUUCAGUAACCACAACAGUAAACAAGUAACAAACAGUGCAAGAAGAUCCUAGGAAUAGAUUAACCAAAUAGAAAACUCAAGAAAACCCAGUAACAACUUCAAGAAACCCAACAGCAACACCAAAUGAAUACUCGUAGUACCAGGAAAACAAACAACAACCAAAGUAGAGAAUGCCAAUAACUUUCUGAUUUUAAACACUCGAGAAGAAAAAUAGACUCAAGCUCUUCGGUACUAAGCUUAGCCCACCACUCACUCUAUCACUAACUUCACUAGACAAGAGUCAACCUCACACUCAAGAUAGAAUUUCUACAACUACUGACUUUCUAUGAUUUUUUAAUAUCAGUCCUAUUCUUUCGAUCCUCAACUCUCAAGAUUGAAAGUCUAUUUUUUUUCUUUAGUUCUGAAAAUCUGGUCUACCUUUUUCAGUUCUGAAAUUUCUAUCUCCAAAAAUUCCUCCCCUAAACUCUUAAGUUUUGAAAUUUUUAUCUCUCAAAUCCUCAUUUUUAAGUAUCAAAUGACUCCUCUUUUAUACCACAAGACAAGACCCUUUCUUCACUCUUUUCUUAUUAUUACAACCCCUUUUUCUCUUUUACUUUCCAGCCCAAUAUUCUUCUACUAUGUGUAUCUUUUGACUUUUAUUAUUAACUAUAUUAUUUCUGAUUUCCAAUUAAUUAAGAACAGUCAAUACGGACCCCACAGUUCCUCUCUUCAUUUGUCAAACAAGACCUUUUAUUAUUAUCCCCCCUUUUACAUUACAUCAUUAUGUCUUGUCCCCCACUGACCCUUGUCCCCUCUUAUUUUAAUUAAGGCCCACCUUUAAUCGAUUCCCAAAAUACCCACAAAAUUACUAAAAAAUACUACUCUACCCCCCAUCAGCUAUAACAUAUUCACCUAAUCAAUUAACCAAGAUACAGCAGAUAUAGCCAAUUCCUAAUCAAACUCAAUCAAUAAAUUCAAACUACAUGUUGAACAACAAAGAACCAACUGCAAUUAUCUUGACUGAACAAAAUUUUUAACAAAUAUACUUUCAGAUUCAACAACAAUAACAAACAAGUAGAUUCAAAUCACUAAACAAAAAUUAUCAAUUGAACCUCAAACUAAAUCCAACAAUAUUAUAACCAAGAUGAAGGAUUCAGGUGAUUAAACCAACACACUUCUAUAUUAAAACUAAACAAGGACAAAUGAAUAAAAACAAACUAAAGGAAUAAUCAAGAAAUGUAACGAACAAGAAAAUAAUCAAACAUAUACUAAUUUUAGAUUCGAUAAUAUAAAAAAAAUACGGACACAAAUGAGACUUAAACCAACUAACCGAAUCGAAACAACGACAAAUUCGAAUGGAAACAAAUCUGCCCGGAAACUUUGAAGCCAAAAAAAAUAACUCGAAUCUGCCCGGAAUCUCAACAAAGACCUCGAACUACUUAUUCUUUGAACUCGAACGGAACUAAUAAUCAACGAACAAACCUGGAGUUGACGACAAACGACCUCAACGACCUCAUACUAGAUGACGAAGACGACGAAGACUGGACUAACUGGACGACAAAUUGAACGAGCUGGACGACGAACUGGACGAGCUGGAGUUCGCUAGGCUAUGGCUGGUGGUGGUGUUUGGCUGGAAGAAAAAUGGUAAGGGCAACCAUGGUUGAUGGGCUGAUGAAAAUGGCUGUGAAGGUGACGGAGUUGGAUGUUUGGACAGUAGAUUUGGAGCUGGUUCGCGGGCGGUCCAUGGGGGUCGUUUGGUGAACGAGAUGGUGGUCGUUUGGGCAGGGCGUGGGGCUGCUGGUUACGUGAGGAAGAUGAGAUGGAGGCUGGUUGUUCAUGGCUUCUGUCGUGACAAGGUAGGGGGAGGGGCUGUUUGGAUGAUAAGGGUGGUGUGCGGAAGAUGAAAAAAAAUAGGGGGUUAGGUGCCUAGGUGAGUGGCGGCUGGAGGAGAAUAGGGGUUGGGG